RNAcentral lists this ribosomal RNA (550 nucleotides) under uncultured bacterium. RNAcentral's name for it is "bacterial SSU rRNA". It matches the Rfam family "Bacterial small subunit ribosomal RNA", at positions 355 to 896 of the family's 1533-position model. The record is from RNAcentral.
UAGGGAAUCUUCGGCAAUGGACGGAAGUCUGACCGAGCAACGCCGCGUAAGUGAAGAAGGUUUUCGGAUCGUAAAGCUCUGUUGUAAGAGAAGAACGAGUGUGAGAGUGGAAAGUUCACACUGUGACGGUAUCUUACCAGAAAGGGACGGCUAACUACGUGCCAGCAGCCGCGGUAAUACGUAGGUCCCGAGCGUUAUCCGGAUUUAUUGGGCGUAAAGCGAGCGCAGGCGGUUAGAUAAGUCUGAAGUUAAAGGCUGUGGCUUAACCAUAGUACGCUUUGGAAACUGUUUAACUUGAGUGCAGAAGGGGAGAGUGGAAUUCCAUGUGUAGCGGUGAAAUGCGUAGAUAUAUGGAGGAACACCGGUGGCGAAAGCGGCUCUCUGGUCUGUAACUGACGCUGAGGCUCGAAAGCGUGGGGAGCAAACAGGAUUAGAUACCCUGGUAGUCCACGCCGUAAACGAUGAGUGCUAGGUGUUGGGUCCUUUCCGGGACUCAGUGCCGCAGCUAACGCAUUAAGCACUCCGCCUGGGGAGUACGACCGCAAGGUUG